RNAcentral lists this long non-coding RNA (880 nucleotides) under Mus spicilegus (steppe mouse). RNAcentral's name for it is "lncRNA (ENSMSIG00000020623.1)". The record is from RNAcentral. Lineage: Eukaryota; Metazoa; Chordata; Mammalia; Rodentia; Muridae.
GUCCAAGACAACUAGAACCCCCUUCCUCUCCGGGCAGACCAGCCGGGAUUAGGAGGCCAGCAGAGCACCCACAAACUGCGGGUCACGUGCGCGAUCAGAGCCCGACCAUCGAGUCAGUCCUCCAGCUUCCCAGAGCGGCCUCGGAAGUGCCCCUGCGGCUCGGGUCUUUCCGGCCAGGCAGUCCGCGCUUUUGUCCCGCCGGCGGCCGGGCUCCCGUGGUGCCGCCACAGCCAGAGAAACUCAUCUGUAGAGCAGUGGGUGCAACCGGAGGCCGCCGUCUGCCCUACCCCACCCCCACCCCACCGCAAACUGAGAAAGUGUUGGCCUAGGGAAAAGCCAGCGAAGGCACUUGAACCCAAGUGAUCGCUUGGGGGAAGUCCUGGGGCAGCGAUGUGAAAGAAAGAUAAACAGGAAGUUGAAAUGGAAGGUCUAAAAUUGAAAAGUAAAUGGAUGGAAAAUCUGAUGUAUGUGGACAUGGCAGAGUAUAGAUAAGGUAUGUUGCUGCUAAAGUUUCUGGGCCCACACUAGCCCACUUAUCAGUUCCAUGUUUUGUGUUGUGGGCUGCUCUACCCAGAGUAAUACAGAGAGCUGGGGAACUAGUCUGGCCUACCAUUCUUCAGUAACCUCAUCCUUGGGACUUAAUUUUAUAUACUAUUUCCUCAGAUGAGCCAACUUCUGCUUUAGUGGCUGCUGGGUGAUUCUUCACCUUCUAAAUGGUCUCCUAAAUUUCUAGCAUUUUCUAUUCCUUAUAGGAGGUCAUUAUUGCUAUGAAAAAAAGUUGGAUAGUUUGAUUCUUUACAUCUGUUCACUCUAAAGCAUGUAUUUUACUUUUAUUGACCAUUUUUUCCUCACAUAGUUGCAUACAUAGCUUUCCAAGUAA